UUCUAGGGGGAUGUACAUGUGGAAAGGGCUUGAAGGAAGCUCUGCGCUGCUGUCAAGGGCAGUUUGACUCGUACUGUGCCUUCUUUGGGGGUGAGGAAAAGGGGGUGAAGACUCAAGUGCCCUGAAACCGUAAGAACGGCUGCAGGGGCUGCAGGGGACAGAAAGGGCUCUCUGGCGCCUUUUGCCUCCGUGCUCUGCCUGCCCCCAGUGUGCGUCGCUGCCCCGGGCUGAGCUCGGCGGCAGUGCUGCCGCCUUGUGGACAGAGAACGGUACUGCCGCCCCCCGACCCAGCGCCAGUUUUCCUUCCGGCUGUGAAACUGCAAACAUCGCAGUAUUCCUCUGACACCAGCGGUUCUAGGAAGUACAGGUGUGCUUGUCCCGUAGUUUGGAUUCUGCUUCCUAGCAUUUCUAGUGUGACAGGGUUUACCAUAGAGGCGAUCUGCCAGGAGGCAGCACUUUGCGGGGCAUGUCAGUCCUGGGGGCUGUCUCCAAAGUGACCUACAGACAUUGGAAUGGAAAUCUUUAUUUAUUGUGUAAAAGAAUCACUCUCUGAAGCAUCAGCCAGGGUCUAAAUGUGCCAUUCUGCCUUUUAAAAGUACCAACAUCACAUGAUUUUUCUCAGAUUAAAGCUUCUGUGGAGUUGGAUCUGCCUGGCCCUUGAGAGUUGUGGGCCUCCUGUGAACUGGUCCUGUCAGAAGGGCUUGCUGAGUUUUCCAUUGUGUGGAAAAGAGAUCCCAUUUGGAGCCUGAAGCCUUGUGUUUCCUGUGGGAUUUCCACUCCUAGAAUUGCAAACUUUGCAGGAUUUCUUACAGCAGAAGUUUUCUGGAAACGAGGACCUUGGCUGGAUUUGCGUCUCAGGACUCUCAAGUGAAAUGACCUUGAGACAGCAGGGCGUGCAGAUUUCCGUGCUGUUGAAAAGAGCUAUUGUUCGCACCCAGGAGGGUCUGAACGGGGGUGUCACCUCUUAAAUUUGCAAAUGUCACAGGAUUUCUUCUAAAUGAAUGGUGCUAAGAACAUAAGGUCUGGCUGGCUUUGGACUUAGAGGUGCCUCCUCUAAAUUGAUAAGUGCUCCUGCAAAUGCCAAAUAGCCCUUGCAAUGCAGUUAAUCAGCUUCAAAGUACCAUCAGGUUGCUGCCCCUGCAAAGAUUUUGGCAGGCCCUGGUUGUGGUGUCUCCAUCCCACUCCACUACCCUUAGCAGGUGCUUAUGGUUGCAUGGGGAAUCAUCAUGGAGCAUGCCAACCCAGUUCUAUCCUGGGAAAAGCACCUGUAUUUUACCCUAAAAUUUUUGUCCCAUUAUAACUCCU
Pyrgilauda ruficollis (rufous-necked snowfinch) is the source of this 1305-nucleotide long non-coding RNA. RefSeq lists it as uncharacterized. The transcript is spliced from 3 exons. The record is from RefSeq and is a predicted model, not a curated record. Lineage: Eukaryota; Metazoa; Chordata; Aves; Passeriformes; Passeridae.